This 312-nucleotide unclassified non-coding RNA is filed under the name Hevea brasiliensis (rubber tree). The record is from RNAcentral. Lineage: Eukaryota; Viridiplantae; Streptophyta; Magnoliopsida; Malpighiales; Euphorbiaceae.
ACAAAGCAAGGAGGAGAAGCUGAAACGUGUUCAUCAGGCCUUGGUAAUUAUCUGAACCCUUCUAUAAUUUUUUAAGAAAGUAACGAUUUAACAAUGAUGAUUAUUGGAUUAAGAUGAAAUCAAAGCCAAAAUAGUCAAUUUCAGCCAAUUUAGCAUCUUGCAAGGCAACAGCCAACAAAAAAAUGUAUCCCUUUAACAUUUUCAGGUCUAAUCACUUUGGCAAAACACAGUUUUUAAAAUCAUUAGCACAACAAUUAGAAACGAAAACAAAAGGCUUAGAAAUUUUUGAAAAAUUUAGAAAUUAGAAGUAAG